UGGCGGCGAUAGCGCGGUGGUCCCACCUGACCCCAUGCCGAACUCAGAAGUGAAACGCCGUAGCGCCGAUGGUAGUGUGGGGCUUCCCCAUGUGAGAGUAGGGAACUGCCAGGUA
Molecule: ribosomal RNA, 115 nt
Filed under: Pectobacterium carotovorum
Lineage: Bacteria; Pseudomonadati; Pseudomonadota; Gammaproteobacteria; Enterobacterales; Pectobacteriaceae
Also listed under: 1 other name
Source: RNAcentral